AAUCCUGUCAGGAGUUAAGAAAUGUAAGUUUGAGAAUACCAAAUUUACUUGACAAAGGCUCCAAAGGAAGCCACGGCUAACUCUGUGCCAGCAGCCGCGGUAAUACAGAGGUGGCGAGCGUUGUUCGGAAUUAUUGGGCGUAAAGAGCACGUAGGUGGAUUUGUAAGUCAGAUGUGAAAGCCUUCUGUUCAACGGAAGAAUUGCAUCUGAAACUACAAACCUUGAGUAUAGGAGGGGAGAGUGGAACUUCUGGUGGAGCGGUGAGAUGCGUAGAUAUCAGAAGGAACGCCGGCGGCGAAAGCGACUCUCUGGUCUAUUAC
This 320-nucleotide ribosomal RNA is filed under the name uncultured Planctomycetota bacterium. Its description in RNAcentral is "bacterial SSU rRNA". It matches the Rfam family "Bacterial small subunit ribosomal RNA", at positions 429 to 740 of the family's 1533-position model. The record is from RNAcentral. Lineage: Bacteria; Pseudomonadati; Planctomycetota.